Molecule: ribosomal RNA, 489 nt
Filed under: uncultured bacterium
Lineage: Bacteria
Description: partial 16S ribosomal RNA
Rfam family: Bacterial small subunit ribosomal RNA
Source: RNAcentral
AUUGAACGCUGGCGGCAGGCCUAACACAUGCAAGUCGAACGGUAACAGGAAGAAGCUUGCUUCUUUGCUGACGAGUGGCGGACGGGUGAGUAAUGUCUGGGAAACUGCCUGAUGGAGGGGGAUAACUACUGGAAACGGUAGCUAAUACCGCAUGACGUCGCAAGACCAAAGAGGGGGACCUUCGGGCCUCUUGCCAUCGGAUGUGCCCAGAUGGGAUUAGCUAGUAGGUGGGGUAACGGCUCACCUAGGCGACGAUCCCUAGCUGGUCUGAGAGGAUGACCAGCCACACUGGAACUGAGACACGGUCCAGACUCCUACGGGAGGCAGCAGUGGGGAAUAUUGCACAAUGGGCGCAAGCCUGAUGCAGCCAUGCCGCGUGUAUGAAGAAGGCCUUCGGGUUGUAAAGUACUUUCAGCGGGGAGGAAGGGAGUAAAGUUAAUACCUUUGCUCAUUGACGUUACCCGCAGAAGAAGCACCGGCUAACUCCGU